Molecule: long non-coding RNA, 241 nt
Filed under: Theobroma cacao (cacao)
Lineage: Eukaryota; Viridiplantae; Streptophyta; Magnoliopsida; Malvales; Malvaceae
Description: long non-coding RNA (TCAC_LNC003911)
Source: RNAcentral
UAUCUCCUGAGGUAAAGCUUUAGAGUUCACUACACGCUAAACCACCACGUGAGGGUGAACUCAGCCAACGCCAAGGAACGACUAUACUUUUAAACAUAAAAAUGUGUUUUAUGCGUAUAUGAACUUUUCUUUAACAACCUUGGCCGACUCAGUUGGAUGCCCCGGCCAAGGUAUCCCCGAGAAUGAGUUUUUGCACGAGCUAAGUUUUUAAGAAAUUCAUAAGCCAUGUUGAUUAUUUGAG